RNAcentral lists this ribosomal RNA (1008 nucleotides) under Triticum aestivum (bread wheat). RNAcentral describes it as "partial small subunit ribosomal RNA". The record is from RNAcentral. Lineage: Eukaryota; Viridiplantae; Streptophyta; Magnoliopsida; Poales; Poaceae.
AUGUGUCUUCUUCUCAAACACAUUUCCAAGCUACACGACGAGCAAACCUCGGGAGAGACUAGGUACUUGAUCACCAAAUACGGAUGGUCGACCGCUAACGAUGUAGGCAUGUCAGACAACCAGCAUACCCCGAUUUGGAAAGACAUUAUGAACGGCCUCGCCCUCUUCCGGGACACCACCCGGGUCAGCAUCGGUAAUGGAACCACUACCUCCUUUUGGCUUGACCUUUGGCUCCCUCGCUCAGCUCAAACCCUAGCCCGACAAUUUCCGGCUCUGUUUUCACACUCCAAUCGAGUCCACACAUCAGUGGCACGCGCUUUGACAUCGAACAACCUCACCUUGGAUCUAACACCUAGGCUGUCUCACGCAGCCGAAUGCGAACUGCUUGAACUACGCACUAUAUUGGGCACGGUGAACUUAAAUAUGCAGGUUGCUGACAGGAGAACUACAAGGGACGCUGAGAAACCUUUCACCGCUAAGCUUGCCUACCAAGCGGUUUGGAGGACAAAGCCCAUGGACACGCUCGCCCCGGCCAUCUGGCGGAACUACGCCCCAAAUAAAUGUCGACUCUACCUCUGGCUUGCCCGCAAGGACCGCCUCUUCACGAAUGAACGACGGUUCAGACGGGGCAUUGCUACUUCAGCCGCAUGCCCCUUCUGCGACCACUGUGAAUCCAUCAACCACCUCCUUUUCGAAUGUCCGCACCGAGCUCCACUUUGGGGGGAGCUAGACAGCCUAUGUCCGGGUGCGCCACAGGGGCUGCUCCAAGCUUGGGAGGGCGAAUGGCACAACAAAACUAGAUCAACAGUUCUACUGGCCGUUCUUUGGAAUAUCUGGAAGCGACGGAACGCCAAGGUCUUUCGGGACAUACAUCUUGGGCUUCAUGAUGUGGCAAGCUCCGCUGCGGAAGAUCUUAAACUUUGGUCCCACCGCUGUAAUAAUAUUCAAAAACAAAUUCAACUCAGGGACUGGGGCUCCAUGUUGUUCCACCUUGCCGGGAGAAUUUAG